GCCUCCGUAGCUCAGUGGUAGAGCGACUGACUUGUAAUCAGUAGGUCGGGGGUUCAACUCCCCCCGGGGGCU
This 72-nucleotide transfer RNA is filed under the name uncultured archaeon. Its description in RNAcentral is "tRNA-Thr(tgt)". It matches the Rfam family "tRNA". Rfam says of the family: Transfer RNA (tRNA) molecules are approximately 80 nucleotides in length. The record is from RNAcentral.